This 258-nucleotide ribosomal RNA is filed under the name uncultured bacterium. Its description in RNAcentral is "partial 16S ribosomal RNA". It matches the Rfam family "Bacterial small subunit ribosomal RNA", at positions 524 to 777 of the family's 1533-position model. The record is from RNAcentral.
GACAGAGGAUGCAAGCGUUAUCCGGAAUGAUUGGGCGUAAAGCGUCUGUAGGUGGCUUUUUAAGUCCGCCGUCAAAUCCCAGGGCUCGACCCUGGACAGGCGGUGGAAACGUACCAAGCUGGAGUACGGUAGGGGCAGAGGGAAUUUCCGGUGGAGCGGUGAAAUGCGUAGAGAUCGGAAAGAACACCAACGGCGAAAGCACUCUGCUGGGCCGAGCACUGACACUGAGAGACGGAAAGCUAGGGGGAGCGAAAUGGG